CAACCACCUCCCAAAAGGUGAACAUUAAUAUUCUGAUUUUCAGUUGUUAGACCUGUGCUCUGACCUUAGAGCUGCAGGGACAGGGGAAUGUGGGAGGAAAGCGCAGCUCGGGAGGUGAGGUACCCCAGCUCCAUCCCUGCAGCAUCGGUGGAGGGAAACACCUCUGGUGAGGUCUGAUCCUAUCGGAAAGGUUGUGCCGUGACAGCUCCUGUGUCAGAUCGCUGUCUCGGAGCGUUUUUCAAUGUGAGAAAAGUGGAGAUGAAUCUUCAUGGAUGCAGCCUCAUUAUCUAAGUGACAUUUAAGCGUAAUUUAUGCCAGAUGUCUCACCACUUCUCUGGUAGGAAAUUGUGUUGUUGGUUCCCCAGCUCUUGGCUUCUGCGGCAACUGUGUCAGAAAUAUUGAAAUAAAUCGAUCUGACUUCAGUUCCCUGUGCAUUUUUAUUGCCGGUUUAUCAACACGGGCAAGGCACUAAAUGAGUUAUGUUCGCGGGAGGAGGAGGAAGGCGAAGGCGUGGUGGCCUGGCUGCCCGCGCCGUCACUAAAAAGGGGUUUGGGUGUCUCGGCAAUUGCCGCUGCCCACGCUAGGGAUCCGGCUGAAUUCUCUGCACCUCGAGUUUUCCUUCUUUUCUUUUUUUAAUCGCAUCCUAAUUAGGGAACCAGCAAAAGCUUUAAAAAAAAGAAAACAAACAAACAAAAUUAAUGAGCAGCGUCAGGGGAGGAAAAAAGCGUUUUCUGGCCGGAGUCCUUGGCAUGGGUAGGAAAUAGCUGCUCCUCUUGGAGAGCGUUUAGUCCGCUGUGAGCUGCCAGCUGAGGAAGUCAAGUGAAAACCAAGUGCCUGGAAGCUGAGUUCGCUGCAGCCUCCCUCUGCUUAGCUCAUUUAGUGCCUCAGCCCUAGCAGUGGGUACUUGGAUGUUUACUCCCAGACUAAAUUGCUUUUGGAGCUCCGACUCAUUUGUCAGCGAGAGAGAAAACAAGCUGUCGUUUGGACUAACAGCCUUCACAGCUCCUUCUCCUGGUCGGUCGUGCUCACGUCGAGCAUCCUCAGCCAAGGGCCAACGCCGUCCCCGUUGCGAGCGCUGCUCGGGAUCCGCGAUGGAGGCAGCUGGUGAGCAGGGGAGGAUCUUAGCAUCUUGCUGCUGAAACCCUUCUGUAAAGACCCAGGGCCGGCUGCUGUGCCCCUGGGCAGCGGCUCCAGGAAUCACCCGGAGCAUCCUGCGGAAGCGGCCCAGGCUCCCUCCCCACUCCUUGGCAGCCGUGCUGCCCGGAGCUGUUGGGUGCCAGUAUUUGCCAGUGUGGAGAGAAAGGCUCCUGGCGCUGGCAUCCACAGGAGGCUGACAUGCUCGAAGCCGCAAACUCUUGCUGGAAAAGUUUCACGUGUCUGGGAAGUGUCAGAGUCUUGUCAAACCUCGGAGCUUCCCAGUUCCUCUGGGAGACUGGCUUGGCUCGCGGGCUUUGUUCAAAACAAACAUCGCCAGGUGCUCACAUGAAUGAGGAGGCUGUCUGCUAUAGAUUGUGAGCUCAGUAAGAGUUGAUAAUUCUCCAGCAUUUGUUUAUAUACGCAGCUGCUGCUUAUAUAUGGCAUUGGGAAGCAGCUCAUGGUAUAAACCUCCUUCAUUUGCACGUCCCCCUGCACAAUUUGGGGGUCAAUUUUCUUACCCUUGUGUUUGAUUCUUUCUGGCCAGUGUGUAUUUUGGGGUUGAAUUUUUUUGCUUGUUCUCGCUUUGGGGUUUUUUGGCUUCUUGGCCUCUCUUGCCUGCAGGGAACUGGUCCAUCCGAAAGCUGAGUUUUGCCUUGCCUUUGGGCAUCACCCGCCGCUGCAGGCAGCCACGCCACUUGGCUGUGGCCGACUAAGAGUGUGACUGCAUACAAGUAAAAUACUGGUCCUAGCGGGUAUUUCUGGAGUUCCCGGGGUCAUUUUCUGUGGCUUUAAGCCUUUCAUUGCAAAGGUUGCUGAUAUGAUGGGCCACUUCUGCAGCCGGUGCUCCCUUUACCUGUGGCAGCAUUGCCUUUCCUCCCAAGCGCCGAGCAGCAAAUGUUUUCCUUGUAGGCUGUGUGAAAAACUCAUUGCAGGGGAAAGAUUCGUAAAACCUUACCUUUGUCCUCCAGGUCUGCUUCACAAAGGUAGCAGGAGGUAAUUCACUGAUUUUCACUAACUCUGCCGUAUACUGGCCUGUGAAAGUCCUUGCUGCAUGAAGAGCACUCCUUGUGCACGCAUGUUCUUCCCCUUUUUUCACAGACCGUCCCAGCUCUAGAGAAAUGGGCAAGCAGUUUCUAGUCUGUGGGGAAGUGAUGCUAGAUUGCUUUUUUAGCAAUGCUCCUCAGUAGAACUUUCAGAAUUUGCCCCAAAGUUUUGGGCAGGAAGAAGAAUGUAGUUUUCUUGCUUUGGACUGAACUUAGGAACCCAAACGGAGACAUUUAAUGCCUCACAGGGAUUAUUAGAAACAAAAAAGCAUUGGAAAGAAAGCGUGCCAUAAAUCCAAGCCUUUCUGUAAGCUCUAAAUCUGUUACACGUUAGGCUGUAGUCUUCUAAAACAAAAGUGACUGCACCAAAUAGAGACUGUUAUUGUCUAAAUAUUUCUGCUGGGAAAUGCUGCAUGAAGAGAAGACACAAUAGCUGCCCUGACGCAGGAUUUAUUAGAGCAAGUUGGCACCAGACUAUUUGUAGGGAGCGGAAUAUGCUUGUAGAGAUUAUACCAGAUUUACAGUGAUUAAUAAUGGAUUGGACAUGGCAGACUUCAAAGGGUUUGGCUCCCUCGCAGUUUGGUGGUAGGUUGAGUUGAAAUAAAAUUGCAGAUUUGCUCCUGUGGUUCAAACAAGUUUUUUUUCCUCGGAGAGCAAGGCUUUUGGCCAGACAGCAUCAGCGAAGCCCCACUCCUCGUGCCUUCAGCCCCCUUUAGCUUCGUGCGGGCAGCACGGCCGAUGCAGCGGCACGCCGAGGUUGCCACCCAGCUUGGCACGGUUCCCUGCAGAGAUCUGCUCGCCGCCACGGCUGAACCCGCUCCGGUGAGUGCCCGGCCGGCUCCUGCACCCCGGGAGAUGCCCUGCGCUGGGGACGGCGCUGCAUCUGCCAAAAAUGGCCCAAGGGCCACCCCGACCCUGCGGCUGCUGGGGAAGGUGAAGCCCUUAGCUAUGGGAAGGGUUCUUCUCCGAGAUGGAACGGGGAGCUCACCUACCAGGAGGAUGAGCGGGGAUUUUGUCAUCAGUCGGAGGGAUUAAGCGAGCCAGGAAAUGUAGGACAUCCCUCUCGCUCGCAAUGUCUGUGCGCACACAGACCUCGAGCUAUUUUUAAAGACCUUCCAGCGUAUGCCGUGGCUGUAACUUUUGGUAUUAAAUGCUUGAAAUCUGCUCCUUGCAGCAGGAGCUCCCUCUCCCAUGUUGUCCGGAGGCUCCUGACCACGCCGAGGACAGCACAAUAAACAAAGAUCAAGACUUUCAAAACUAAUAAUAGUGUUAUUAAUUAUGUGUUAUUAUAAACAUGCUCUCAUUUGAUCUUUGGCAGGCGAUUUAGUGCUGUCCUGCAUGCAGCUGUGAUUGCGCUCUGCCCAACUGCAUCACUUCUCUUUCCUCAUCUGCUUGAGCACUCAGAUGGAUGCGUGUUAACGUAAGAUCGCUCAGACGAGUUGGGAGGCAUCUUGAGCUAAUGAAGACAUUUCCCCUGUAUCUGCUGUUAUCUGGGUGCCUGGAAGAACUGCGGAGGAGCUCUCAUCCUGCUCCAGGCAGGGCUGAUGGGAUUUGCACCGGUCCCAGUUGCCAUGGAGAAAGCGUUAGAUGGCUUUAAUACAUCUCCGCGAAUUUCUCCCCGGAGUUUUCCCGUGACAAGCUGGACUGGAGGUUCAUCAGUCUGCCCUGCCUUUAACCUAAAAGAUAAUUGGAGGUGACCGCGAUGGAAUCAAGUACGCCUGAGGUGGACGUUUUCAAGGAGAAAGGAGACGGCAAGAAAAUUAGGAGGAGCAGGGAGAGAAGGGCUGGCUGUCAAAACCCACGGCAGUUUCUGGAAACUUCAGGAACGAGACCCAGGACGGUGGGUUUGGGAGCCGGCUCUGGGGCCAGCCAGGGAGCUGGCACUCGUUUUGUCAGUGCCACCUCCUUCCUCUUCCUUUUUGCCACCUUAUUUUAGGAUUUAUACCCCCCCUGCAGCCCCGGUUGGUACUUCUAGCUGCUUUAGAUUCUCUAAACAUUUUCUCUUCAGCAGCUUAUGGGCUUUUGAAAUACGAAGUCCAUCAAUCACCAGUUAAUGUCACCUCCACAGCAGUUUCUGCUUCCAGGCAGCCUCCGUUGGGGCCGGAUUUGGUGAGCGGCUGCAGCCAUAGCCAAAAAUCAGGUUACCCGGCUCCUUGUUCUCUCCUUCCUUUGUUUUCCAGGGGUUUCAGUGAAAUCCCCUGCAAACUCAGCCGCUCCGCUGGAGGCUGCCCCAGAGCUUGGCUUAGAGGAUGAUUUCCCAUGGAGUGCCGUGGAGAGGAGAGGUUGCACGGCGAAACGUGUGCUUCAGCUGAUACACCGGGGUUAAAAAUGCCUGGGGCAGCUCGUGGUCCUGCCGUGGCCGAUGGCUGCUGUUUGCUUCCCACCGGCACCGAAAAUAGCGUGGGGGUCAUGACUGGCAGCCAGUUUGGGUGAUCAGCCACGGGAUGGCUGCUUCCCCUCAAAGCCAACUGAGGCAGCAGCAGCAGAAGGGAAAGGGGAGCAAACAGCCAAAAAUACAGUCCGAGCAUCUUCUGCUACGGGACUUGCGGCACUGGACUUGUGGUCCUCUGCCGCAAUGGCACUUGGGGGUCUCCUAAAAGAAGUUUCUGAUUAUUCUGGGCAGUAAUUGCAUCAGUUAAACAAUUUUAAAGGAAGACCAAUCUUUUUAUCUAUUUCCAGCCUUGUGCAGUUGAGUGCAGUGCCCCUUGCAAAAAGUCGGGGGGGGAUUGGCAUGAGAAAUGGUGGCGACGCGAGCUGAGCCAAACAGGCGGCAGAAGAAAAAUCAUCCUCGCAAAAAUGCCAGCGUCAAGCCUGGCAGGGAGAGAAGGAGAAAGAUGCUGUUUGAAGGAGGAAAACAUAAAAGCCUCUGUGGGAAUGGUACCUGCGUGGGAAAUACUGCCCCAGACUGCAGUGUUGGGCGAUGCCAGAGGCUGCUCCCUCCCAAAGAAGACAGGCGCAUCUGGAUUCCCUGCAGCAGCAGCCUUAUCUCCUGCUCCCGGUGCAUCCUCGCUCCUCGGGCUCUCUCGUAAACUCGCCAAAUCUGCUCUACCUGGCAACUCCCGGUUAUCCUUCCAGGUUUGCAUCGCCUGUGCGCUCCAUCCUGCUGCAGCCACGUGAGCAGCCCCAGGCCAGGGAGGACUGUGCCAAGACCAAGGUCUCCUCGGGCUCAAAGACCAUUUACUGCCUAAUAAGGAGAGCUUUUCUAUUUUGGCAUUUCUUUUCCCAUGGUAUUAUCAGUGCUCGGGAGAAAAAGCUAAAGCAACAGAGAAAAUUAGCGCAGCCACAAGGUAUUGGGCUCAGAGCAGGAAUGAGCGUGGGAGCAUCCCCGGUCUGUGCUGCGGGAGCUCAGGCUGGGUGAUGGAAGGGGACGCACCUGCAAAUGCCACGCGCUGGGCGAGAGCGCAUUAACCCCCAGCCCGCCGUUAGGGCACGGCGCUUCCCUCGUCCAUUAGGCAGAUGAGAUUCGCAGGGGUCAAAGCCUCGCCUGAGAAACGAGCGUGGAGAGACAAGCCGGAGACGAUUAGGGAAAUGGCCAGAAAUUGCGAAAUUAGAGAUGAAAACCCUCCGUGCGCGGAUCGGCGCGAGGCGGCUGAAGCGAGAAGCGGAGCUGACCCCGGGCUGGGUGAGCGCACGCCCCUGGGCAGGCGAGCCAGCCCUGCACCACGUUUCCAAGGCUGUUUCCAACCCAAACCUCGUGCCUUCCCGGGCUUUGCCAUCCUCCUCCCGCAGGGAGCCGUGGGCACAGCCCGGCUACAGGCUUUUCCCGCAUGCUCGGGGGCCCUUGCAAGCCUGCGGCAGCAUCAGCAGGAGAGCCUGCAUCCCCUACGAGAGCUGCCCCGCUGCCCGUGGGGUCACGGCGUCCCCGGUUCAGCCCUUCCCAGGCUGGAAAGCUACAGCCAAUUUAUGCGAAAUGCUGUCGGAUGGAGUUCAGAGGGCUGUUAAAUUGAUUCGGCUGUUCUCAGGUAGCCACGUCAGAAGGAAAAGAGGCUCUGCCGAGAAAGAGAAGUCCAGGGAGGUUGGGGAAAAUUGCAUUUAUUUUCAGGUGGGAUGCGAGCGAGGCCAGCUGGCGGUGGCCUCAGCCUGACAGCAUUGCCUCAGGUCUCCAAAGCAGUGUUUAUUUACCACAGGGUGAGGCGUUCAGUGUAAGUUAUUCUGAGGAGCUAAUACUGGCUAGCUGCUAGCUGUGUGUUCAGGAAAGAAAGAAAACACUUUUAUUCCGCCUCGUCUUUGGGUUCCCAGUGCGGUGAUGCUGUAGCACCAGUCCGUGUUUUGGUGUGCCUUUCAUGUUAAAGUUUGGGUGCCAAAGGGAAUUACGUGGUUGCCUGAAGAGCAGCAGCGAGCUGUAGAAUAAUACAUCAACUUCAAAUUGGCAAGAGCAGGCUGAGUAAAACAAGGUGCCGUUCCUUCCAAGGCGCUGAUUUACAAUGCAUCAGCCCUGACCCCGCCGGCACUUUCCCCGCAAAAAGAAGCGAUUAUCUGCUGCCAGCCGUCCACUGAAACACGGCGCGAGGAAUUUUAGCUGAAAUAUUCCGUAUUUCAAUUACUCGCUACAAGUGGCUUGCCCGAAUUCCUAAAUGCUUCAGGAUGUGUUUUGCUAUAAAGCCGCCGGCACUCAUCCAGCCCCACGCGCCCAGCCUUGCCCUGACGCGGGCAGGAGCAGGCAGAGGGGGUGCGGGCACCCGGCUCUUCGGGGGGACGAGGGGAUGGAAGGAGGAUCGGCUGCUCUGCUCCCAGCAGGUUCUUGUAUUGCUCCUUUCCCCCUCGGAGGCGAGACGCUAAGUCAGUGAGCAGAAGACUUUCCACCCUCUGCAGCAGAUCAGAAAACCACAAUAUCUAAAUGUUUGGACUUCUUGUUCCCAACCUAUUGCUGCAUUAAAAGAUAAUUAAUGCACUGAUGAUACAGCUUUUAAAGGCACAGGUACCUGAAAACACCAGGCUUCUCUCCCUUCAUCAUUUGAAUGACACAGCUCUGAAAAAGGGCCACUCUGGCUGUUGGAGAGGAAGGGUUUCUUCUUUGUUCUGGUCGCAUUAGGAUAUCCUGAUGCUUCUUGCCUGCCUGCCCUCGUGUCGGCUGCGCUCCCCCCGCAGCACCCGGCCGUCCCCAGGCUCCUGCUGUCUCCGUUGCUCCGUGGCAAGGUCACAGGCUGCAAUCGCAGCACUGGUAGGAACCCGAAGUGAGGUGUCUUUGAGGCGUUGUAAGAGACUCGGUCAUUCGGUUCACGCUGAUUUGCAAGAGUGCCUGGCUUCCCACUUGGAAAAGUGCAAAACGGAAUCUUUUGGCAAAAGUAAACUGGGUCCACGGGAUUAAAAAGAACUGUGAAAAAGAAAUCGCUGGCCAAAUUCCCAAGGAGCAACGUCGAUUCUUUCGGCGCUGGGGGCUGCAGACGUUUCCACCGAGGAGCCGGGAUGCCCUGCUCCCUCCCCGGGUGCUGCCCACGCGUCUCACCCGGGCCAGCGUCCCCCGGGCAGCGGCUCAUCCCAUCUCCGUGCCGCCCUGCCUAUGGCUGGCAGCUGUUGGAGAGGGAAUUACCCUCUGCCCUUCCACCGGCGUGUAGGAAAAGGGCUUUGUAGCAACCGGGUUCCUCUGUGGUUUAUAAAGGGGUUGACCUGCACAUUUCUGAAAGCAGGUCCUAGAGCGCUUUGCAAUAUUGUCCCUGUGUGCAAGGAUCAAUGUUUUCUUAGAAGGUAAGGAUUCGUCAGCAUGCUUUUCCCCCUCCUUUUGGCAGCGGGAGGUUUUCCUGCCCAGCACGGGGGGAGUGCAGAGAAGAGCACGUGAAAUGGUGGUGUGGCCCUGCUGUGCUCCACGUGUGCUGUGAACAGCCACGGGACGGUCGAGCUGUGAAUAUAAUACCUUCCUACAGCGAUAUAUUCGGCAUCUGUGUUCAAAAUUGAUACACUUUUCUAUCUUAAAAAUACUAAUCGGUUUUUAUCGGUGGCAUCAGACUUCCCUGUGUGAGUACUGCUCCACUAUCAGCCAUACGCAUGUUACGGUGUGGUAAAAGAUAUCAGAACACAUUCAAAGCUGUAUUUUGCUCUUUGGAAACCCAGUUCCCAGUGGGUUGUUCCAAGGCCGGUUUGUGGGUCCACAUCUGCACGCUGGGAGCACAGCCCCGAGCCGCAGCCCCAUGGAACCUGCCACGGCAGGCGCUGUGACACGAAUCCAGCUGCAGAUCACUCCGCAUGAUUAGGCUCCGUCUAAUUGCGCCCUGUUCCCUGUAACGCGCCCCGGUUCUCAGCCGACACUCUUUGAAGGAGAUGGCUGUGACCUGCAAGCAGCACUCUCCGAGCUUGUAAUGCUCACCGUAACUCUCCGAAACUUCUUUUCUCACAACCCGAGAAAGUGCUCAGGGCAGCUAUUAAAGUGUAAUCAAUCAGUGUCAAAUAAAAGUCAUCAGAAUAUGACUAAGACUCUGAUUGCCUGUAACCAAGAUAAUUAGACGGUGAGGAUUUUCUUUCUUUCCCCUUUCUGCAAGGAGGCUAAAAGCCUCCAAAAUUGGAGCUAAUAUCCUGUCUCUGGAGCGAGGUGAGUUCACAUUUGACCUACUGUUCAAAUAAAAAUUCUCCUCAAAUCCAGCCCAACCUGGCGAUGGCAAUCAUGGCAGGGGCUUCAGCACAGACCUAUCCGAAGAACACUAAGGAAAAUAUAAUCCCUGAAAUUUCUUUCCACUUAGUAUGCGUGAUCGGGCAGAUUUCAAGGGUGAUGGGGCAGGAGAGAAGGUCUUUGCUUCACUCAUUAAUCACCGCCGUGCGAGCAGCCUUCGUCCCAGCAUAGGUGAGCAUCACUCUGGAAGCAUUUGCUAAAUAAAGCCACGCAUGCCUCAGCGGCAAGGCAAGGGAGGGUGAGAUAAACUGUGGGUUGAGGUGGGAGGGAGGGGACGUGCCGCAGGCAGAUCCCUCUCCCCGUGGCCCCAGCAUCCCAGCGUCUCCGCUCGGGAAGGCUCAGCCCUGGGACGAGCCGGGGGUAUGGCCGCUGCCUCCUGCCUGGAGGUCCCAGGCUGGGACACCGACCCUGGCGCUGCUCGGUGAGGCAGAUCUGCCUCGGCUGCUCCCCUCCGGCUCAGACUGAAGGGCUUUCCCUCUGUUUUCUGCAAAAAGACCUCGCUAGGAAGCAGAGGAGGAGCCUUUACGCGCGGCCCCACGGUGCUGCGACGCUGCGGUCCUCCGGCCAGGCUCCGGUGCGCCCGCACCGUGCCGGCACUGCUGUCCCGGUUGGUUCCAGCCUGGGCGUCGCGAGCCUCCCGUGUCAAAGAGGUCUUCUUCGCAUCUCCAAUAACGCCGUAGUGAUUUCCUCAGGCUGCGUUUCUAUACUCCCUGUCACCGCUUAUCUGUCUCCUCUUGCUCUCCAAAUCCUCUUUCCAUUUAUAUUGCCUUUAAUGAAGUGCUGCCGUCCCGCAGUGCCGCCGCCGCCGCACCUUCGCCCGUCCGGCGCUGCCCCGCGUACCAGCACCCUGACAUUGUCCAGCUGAGCCAAAGGCCAAAGUUGCGGCUCUUAUCCCACAUUUGCAGAGAUGAAGCACGAGGCUUUCUGCCUGGUUAGCCAUAUUGCCUGGCUGAUGUUGAGGCAGGUUUUUCGCCUCCAGCUGUUUCUUUUUUUAUCAGAUAUGUGAUGUUUUUCUCCUGUCGUCCUGCCUUUAAGGCAACCCACAAAGGAAGCAAACAAAUGAGGUGCUCAUUAUUUUGUCCUUUUUUUCUCCACUCCUUGAAUGUUUUAUUGAUCCAUUUCUUCCUCGCCUCAUCUGUGCAUGGUUGGGCAUGGAGCUUGUUUGGGAAGGUUUAUGGCAGGAAAGGCCAGGUCCUUUCCCGAUGUAAUUUUGUUCCUGGUGAAGGCAAUGUCACUAGCCGGGGGCUGGCAGCGGGAGGGUGCUCUGGAGGAGCCGAGCAUCGUGGUGGGCUCCCUGGACCAGGUCUCCUCUUCCCAGGGCCGGGUGAGGUGAGGAGCCCGGCGGGUGCUGAGCUGUCCGAGCACACAGCCUGGACGGACAUCCCCCGCCUCUGCUCUGCGGGAUCAGCUGCCGGCUUCCCCAGCUGUCCGGUCCUCGGCAUCGCCCCGAAAGGUCCUCGGCAUCGCCCACUGCGGGGCCCCACCUGUGCCGAGCAUCGCCAGGCUGCCACAGCCAGCAACCAAGCCAUCCGAGUGAUCUACUUUCCUAAGCACCGAGUAAUUAAAAAAACACCAAAUGGAAGUAAUUCCCACUUACGAGAAAGGACCUGCUGGAAUUCGUGAUGGGAAGGAGGCAUUCAACAGAUGUGCAUUAGCAUAAUGUGGAAACGGCGUGAAGCACGAUGCUAUUUUUCUCCCCAAGCCACUUACAGGAAGCAGAGCUGCCCUCCCCUCCACUUCAGGUUUUCCUAGCAAAAAGGAAAGCCAGAAUAAACCAAGGAACGGUGCGGCUGGAAGUCCCGGUCAAGCAAGCGCCAAUCUUUCUCCCAGGGCUCUCCAGCGUGGGUGCAAACCAGCUCGGCAUAAGCCGGGCAAGGUUUCUUUCGGAGAUGGAGGAGUGGGCGAGCUGAGCUGGGGCGGCAGCAGCCCUCCCCGGGGCGCCCGGCCCCCCACAGUCCCCCCAGCUGCCAAUGUUUCUCCUCGGGCUCUGGCAUCUAUUUUAAUCCGUCUUGGUUUUGCGUUCCCCCCCCCCCCCCCGAUUAGCAGGCAAAGCAGCGAGCCGUCAAUACACAAAGAUUAAUUCACCCCACGUGGGAGCCCCUGCCAUCAGCCACAGCCCACCAUGCGAGAGGGGAAACUGAGGCAGCCGCAGCAUCCCGUGCGAGGGAUGCGAAGCCCAAAAAAACCCCUGCGGGGCAGUUUUUCCUGCCUCUCGAGUGCUGGCAGAAGUCGCCUGUGGUUAAAGCCUGUGCCUGUUGCUGGCUUGCCUUGAGAUGGCAUCCCCGGACUCGGGGCUGUCGGGUCCUCCUGGGGGCAGCUCAUUUGUGUGCUUAGGGCCAGAGGGCACAUGCGUGUGCGCACACACGCUCAGACACAUGCACACGCAUGACUGAGGGCCCGCGGCAGGUCCCCGGUCAGCUUGCAUUGCAAAGGGAGACGAGUCGAGACAGCCACUCUCCGUCCCUGUCCGGGCACCGCCUGGGAGACAGAUGGACAGACAGACAGGCCGUUCUGCAGCGCUCUCCGGGCACCGCCUGGGAGACGGACAGAUGGACAGACAGACAGGCCGUUCUACAGCGCUCUCCGGGCACCGCCUGGGUGACAGACGGACGGACAGACCACUGUGCGUUGGAGUGGCCAGACGGACAGACAGCCGCUCACCGUCCGGCGUCCUCCCAGCUGCGCAUCGUCUGCCCGCAGGCUCCAUCUUGUGGAAGAUGCUUCCCCGAGGAGCCGGAGUGGGAAGCUGCCCCUCGGUGUGGGAGCCAGCGUGCGGGGGUCCGCUCGGCACCGCCGGCGUGCCGGCGCGGCAGGAGGGUCCCUGGCAGGCUGGCGGUGCUGGCACCCAGCCGGCACCCUGGCUCCCCGGCUCUGCCUCCAUGGGCUUGAUAAUGCAUCACGCCUCUGUACAGUUACUCUGAGGAAUAAAUGCGGUGGAAUUUAUUUCAACAGAUGGAGGACAAUUUUCUUCUCAUCAUUUAACCGACACGCCGAGCGCCUCCCUUCGCGGGGUCCCUGUGCGGCAGAGAACGGAUACGGAGAGCAGGGGUACUACGCCGUGCUCAUCCUGCCGCUCCGUUACAGAGGGAAUUUCUCUCCACGUUUAGGGGAAUUUAGAUUCUGCAAAGAAAAGGAAGGAAUGAAAAGCACUGGCAAGUCCCGCCAUGCCGUACCGCCUGCGGCGCGGCCGCACCGGGGCUUUGCUGGCAGCGGCGGCGGGCAGCUCCUGCCAUCCUGGCCCUCAGCACCCCGCGCUACCUCUCAGCGCUCGGCCGUAGGGUAAAACUGGGUCUUCCUCAGCCUGCUAGAUGUUCUGCCUUCAUUGAGGUUUAUUUACCAUAUAAUGGGAGACAGUAAUUUCACUGUAUAUAAUUUAAUGACACAUUAGGAAAGAAUUAAUCACUGGAAGCGGCGCUCGCGCUGGGCUGCUUUGCUGAGAUCUGGCGAGAGGAGCCCCGCUCCCAGCCCUCGCUACCCGGUGCCGGGUGGUGCAGCCCCUCGGCAGCGAGACUUUGGCGGGCAGCGCCGCGGCAGGCAGGCAGAAAUGCUGCCAGCACCAUCGCUGCCCGCUUUCUCGCCCCAAGUGGCCCAGGUUCCUUUGCAAUCCGGCUGUGCCCCGAGGCUGCGGACACGGCUGGGGGGCCGUGAUUGGAGACGGUGCUCCGUAGGAAAACACGAUACACAAAACUCUCAAGAGCACAUCCAAUUUCCACUCAUUAAGCCAUAAUUUCCAUCAUUUUAAUUACAUAAAAGGCAGAUAAAUGGUGAGUAUGCUCCUACUUGUGCCUUUUCUCUUAAUUAUUAGUCCUUUGCACAGGCCAGUUUGCAAUGAAUCAGCCUUUAAACAGUGUUCAAUCGGAACAUGUUCUGCUUUAUUUGAAUUAUCUUGUUGGCCGAUCAUUCCCCAGAACAUAAUAAAACAAACAUUAAUUACUACUUCAGCGGGUGUAAUCUUCUUGAAAGCACUCGACACUGCUCAAAUGCCAUUGUAGCCUCAUGCUCCGCACUUCAAGGCGCGUGGGUAAACGAACUCAUCCCGCGGGUCUGAGCGCGCAAGCGGAGCCCGCGCCUGCCGCUCCGAACAGCCGCCUUCAGAAAAGUUUGGAAAACGUGCAGGUAUGCAAAGGAAAAAAACCAAGGCUGUCGUCCAAAGAGGAUGGAAGAUCCGUUGGCUCGGUGGGACGCAGCGGGAUGCAGCAGGGUCGGACCACACCACGUGCCGCAGCACGCCGGGCUCCCGGCGCCGGGACGGGCUGGACUCAAGGCAGCCGGUGAGCAGCCGCGCCGACGCUUGCGUUUCAGCUUGCGCAGGGCUUAUUUGGGUCUUGCGUCGAUCGAUUUGGAAUGUUUCAUGUAUGUGUAAAUGGCAGCUCCUAACCUCCACUCCAAGUUUCCGAUGGCAUUUCCAGCGCUGUUGCUAAAACACCCCGGGCGUCGCAACUCGCCAGGGGACGACAGAGAGCCAGGCACUCGGCGUGCGCAAAUGUCUGCUAAAACCCGAGCCGAUGGCACGGGCUGGGAUGACAGGCACGCACCCCGGUCUAGCCUGUCCAGCUCUUUUACUGGUCCCAGCAAGGUCAGUCGGAGGCUGAAGGAAAGGAGGGGCUGGGGCUACACUUUUUGGGGGCGGUGGGGGGGUACAGAGGCCGGGAGCUCCCUCCCCACACAGCUAGCUGGGGAUGCUCACAGCUGGGGCACUCAGCACGGCCCCGCAGCUCGCCCAUAAAAGCCGGGAGGGCUUUUUGGAUGGAAGGAGAGGUCUCUGGUGUGAGGGCUCUCCAGCUGGAUUCUCCCCUCCUGCUGAGCUUUGCUUCAGAAAAUCCCUGCCUGGAAAGACCUGCUGAGGAAACCUCUAUCAGCUGCCAGUGGGGCUGCUGCAGGCUCCUGUGCGUGGCCAGGCUUUGCAUCCCCAGGGCUUCGCUGCCCUUCGGAAAGGCUUUCCCACUGGCAAAGCAAUCGGAGGGCCAGGAAAACACCAGCGUGGGGCAGGGAAGAGGAUUUUCCAGGAGCAGCGAGCUUCAUUGAGCAUGCAUGAAGCCUCCUCGUGGUCACCCCUGGGCCAGCGCUGGAGACACAAGGUUUCCAUGGAGAACUAUGUGGAAUCAAAACUUACCCUGUGUCAACGCAUUCUCAGGUGUGCCUCUUCAAAUACCGGUACGUGCCAAAAAGAAAAUGUCUGAGUUUCCUAAAUACUCAGUAAUGUUACUUUAAAGCACUGCGUUUGCAUUUGUGCGAGAAAAAAGGAAUUCAAAUAUGCUUUUAAUGAAGAAAAUUGUUUCAUGUCAUUUUGUUAACAUUCCACCCACCCCCAAAGGGCCGUGUGUUUCUUUUCCUUGGGUGUUUCCCCCAAGCAGGGUGCCCAGAAACCGGGGCGAAGGGGCACAGGGCAGGCAGGGAGAGCCCCGGUCCAGCCCCAGCAUCCUGGGGAAGGAGGAGGAGGAGGAGGAGGAGGUGCUCUGCGGAUAGAGCCAUAUGUUGUCAAGUUAAUAAAAGACCUUGAAAAGCAUAAAUCCUCUGUAUGCUGGCUGCUAGCCCAGGUGCAUAAUUUCCUUGCCAUUGGGGGGGAGCAGACAGCAUCUGUACAGCUCCUGUAUUGUAAGCUAACGAAAGAGCCCACAAUGAAACGCUCCAUCCCCCAAGGACGGCGAGGGAACUCAGCGCUCUCCAUCAGAGCUAUUAUUUGUGUUGGAGGAGAGCCUGGCAGGCUCGAGCAAGGCUUUCUCCUGCUCCCUGUGCUGGAGAAAGACUAUUCCUGCUGCAAAGGGCUCCCAGCUCCGAGGCGAGCACCCGGGGUCCUGGGAGGCA
This is a long non-coding RNA of Aquila chrysaetos chrysaetos, 14586 nucleotides long. RefSeq lists it as uncharacterized. NCBI's taxonomy places the organism in Eukaryota, Metazoa, Chordata, Aves, Accipitriformes, Accipitridae. The record is from RefSeq and is a predicted model, not a curated record. The transcript is spliced from 8 exons.